CGCCUGUUUAUCAAAAACAUUUCUACUUUUAAAAUAAGAGGUAUAGCCUGCCCGGUGAGUACUUUAACGGCUGCAGUAUUUUGACUGUGCUAAGGUAGCAUAAUCAUUUGUUUCUUAAUUGGUAGCUGGUAUGAACGGUCGAACUAACUUAACUGGUUUGUUUAAUUAGACAGGUCAUUUAAGUCAAGGUAAAAAUUCUUUGAUAGACUAGGGGACGAUAAGACCCUAGAAGCUUUAUUUGCGGGGGAGUUAGUAGUGUUAAUUGAGGGGUAAAUUUACUGGGGCGGUAGCGUCGA
Molecule: ribosomal RNA, 296 nt
Filed under: Chaetogammarus obtusatus
Lineage: Eukaryota; Metazoa; Arthropoda; Malacostraca; Amphipoda; Gammaridae
Description: partial 16S ribosomal RNA
Rfam family: Bacterial large subunit ribosomal RNA
Source: RNAcentral